UAGGGAAUCUUCGGCAAUGGACGAAAGUCUGACCGAGCAACGCCGCGUGAGUGAAGAAGGUUUUCGGAUCGUAAAACUCUGUUGUUAGAGAAGAACAAGGACGUUAGUAACUGAACGUCCCCUGACGGUAUCUAAUCAGAAAGCCACGGCUAACUACGUGCCAGCAGCCGCGGUCAUACGUAGGUGGCAAGCGUUGUCCGGAUUUAUUGGGCGUAAAGCGAGCGCAGGCGGUUUCUUAAGUCGGAUGUGAAUGCCCCCGGCUCAACCGGGGAGGGUCAUUGGAAACUGGGAGACUUGAGUGCAGAAGAGGAGAGUGAAAUUGCAUGUGUAGCGGUGAAAUGCGUAGAUAUAUGGAGGAACACCAGUGGCGAAGGCGGCUCUCUGGUCUGUAACUGAAGCUGAGGCUCGAAAGCGUGGGGAGCAAACAGG
Molecule: ribosomal RNA, 429 nt
Filed under: Gemmatimonadota bacterium
Lineage: Bacteria; Pseudomonadati; Gemmatimonadota
Description: Gemmatimonadetes bacterium partial 16S ribosomal RNA
Rfam family: Bacterial small subunit ribosomal RNA
Source: RNAcentral